Molecule: ribosomal RNA, 429 nt
Filed under: Bacteroidota bacterium
Lineage: Bacteria; Pseudomonadati; Bacteroidota
Description: Bacteroidetes bacterium partial 16S ribosomal RNA
Rfam family: Bacterial small subunit ribosomal RNA
Source: RNAcentral
UAGGGAAUCUUCCGCAAUGGACGCAAGUCUGACGGAGCAACGCCGCGUGAGUGAAGAAGGAUUUCGGUUCGUAAAACUCUGUUGUUAGAGAAGAACAGCGCAUAGAGUAACUGUUAUGCGUGUGACGGUAUCUAACCAGAAAGCCACGGCUAACUACGUGCCAGCAGCCGCGGUAAUACGUAGGUGGCAAGCGUUGUCCGGAUUUAUUGGGCGUAAAGCGAGCGCAGGCGGUCAAUUAAGUCUGAUGUGAAAGCCCCCGGCUCAACCGGGGAGGGUCAUUGGAAACGGGUUGACUUGAGUGCAGAAGAGGAGAGUGGAAUUCCAUGUGUAACGGUGAAAUGCGUAGUUAUAUGGAGGAACACCAGUGGCGAAGGCGACUCUCUGGUCUGUAACUGACGCUGAGGCUCGAAAGCGUGGGUAGCAAACAGG